AGCCAAACGCGAAACAAAUCAACCGAGAGAAAACAACCAUCAACUACUGCUAAAAAUCCUAAUGAACAUUCCGUAACAUGCGUAGCUGCCUAUUAUCAACAGAAGCUUUAAUUCCUAUCCGUGAUCUAAGCCUUGCUCAAAUAUUAGUUUCUGUUUGGGGAUAACAUUGUCCACCGGAAGAUCUUUGUUCUAAAAAACUAUAAGAUUCCUUUCACCGCAUUAGCGAUAUAUAACAGUCAUAAAAGGAAAGCUUAUACAUAAAAACCUUAUAGGACUUUCCCUAACGAUUCUAAACUGCCCAAGUCUUUCCAGCUUACGGGCUUACAGGCCAUCUGUCAAUUUAAUCCCAGAAUUACUUAGUAUAUGUUGGACGGGGGCACUACUUGUACCUGGGGAUUAGCCGGUGUGAAGUCUCGAACACCCUCGCCAGCAACAAAAAAAAAGUUGUCUACAAAUAUAGAAAAGCAAAGGGCAUUCAAAGAACAAAUGAUCAUGAGAUUCAUUCCCUACUUGUCAGAGUACACAUACUCUGGCAAUGCCCUACACACACAUUAUGUCUCUGAUGGAUUGCUUGCCCUGAAGAGCCAAACACUUAAUAAAA
Molecule: long non-coding RNA, 601 nt
Filed under: Actinidia chinensis (golden kiwifruit)
Lineage: Eukaryota; Viridiplantae; Streptophyta; Magnoliopsida; Ericales; Actinidiaceae
Description: long non-coding RNA (ACHI_LNC000584)
Source: RNAcentral